UACAGAGGGGGCAAGCGUUAUUCGGAAUUAUUGGGCGUAAAGGGCGCGUAGGCGGUUCUUCAAGUCUCUCGUGAAAUCCCUCGGCUUAACUGAGGACGUGCGGGAGAUACUGAAGGGCUUGAGUCCGGAAGAGGGUGGUGGAAUUCCCAGUGUAGCGGUGAAAUGCGUAGAGAUCGGAAGGAACACCAGUGGCGAAGGCGGCUUUCUGGACCUAUAUUGACGCUGAGGCGCGAAAGCGUGGGGAGCAAACAGG
RNAcentral lists this ribosomal RNA (253 nucleotides) under uncultured bacterium. RNAcentral's name for it is "partial 16S ribosomal RNA". It matches the Rfam family "Bacterial small subunit ribosomal RNA", at positions 524 to 776 of the family's 1533-position model. The record is from RNAcentral.